GUGGGGAAUCUUGCGCAAUGGGCGAAAGCCUGACGCAGCCAUGCCGCGUGGAUGAUGAAGGUCUUAGGAUUGUAAAAUCCUUUCACCGGUGAAGAUAAUGACUGUAGCCGGAGAAGAAGCCCCGGCUAACUUCGUGCCAGCAGCCGCGGUAAUACGAAGGGGGCUAGCGUUGCUCGGAUUUACUGGGCGUAAAGGGCGCGUAGGCGGACAGUUUAGUCAGAGGUGAAAGCCCAGGGCUCAACCUUGGAAUUGCCGUUGAUACUGGCUGUCUUGAGUACGGGAGAGGUGAGUGGAACUCCGAGUGUAGAGGUGAAAUUCGUAGAUAUUCGGAAGAACACCAGUGGCGAAGGCGACUCACUGGCCCGUUACUGACGCUGAGGCGCGAAAGCGUGGGGAGCAAACAGGAUUAGAUACCCCAGUAGUCC
This 425-nucleotide ribosomal RNA is filed under the name uncultured bacterium. RNAcentral's name for it is "partial 16S ribosomal RNA". It matches the Rfam family "Bacterial small subunit ribosomal RNA", at positions 354 to 796 of the family's 1533-position model. The record is from RNAcentral.